This 297-nucleotide ribosomal RNA is filed under the name uncultured bacterium. RNAcentral's name for it is "partial 16S ribosomal RNA". It matches the Rfam family "Bacterial small subunit ribosomal RNA", at positions 30 to 334 of the family's 1533-position model. The record is from RNAcentral.
AUUGAACGCUGGCGGCAUGCCUUACACAUGCAAGUCGAACGGUAGCAGGUUAAGCUGACGAGUGGCGAACGGGUGAGUAAUAUAUCGGAACGUGCCCAGUCGUGGGGGAUAACUGCUCGAAAGAGCAGCUAAUACCGCAUACGACCUGAGGGUGAAAGCGGGGGAUCGCAAGACCUCGCGCGAUUGGAGCGGCCGAUAUCAGAUUAGGUAGUUGGUGGGGUAAAGGCCCACCAAGCCAACGAUCUGUAGCUGGUCUGAGAGGACGACCAGCCACACUGGGACUGAGACACGGCCCAG